RNAcentral lists this ribosomal RNA (383 nucleotides) under uncultured Flavobacteriaceae bacterium. Its description in RNAcentral is "bacterial SSU rRNA". It matches the Rfam family "Bacterial small subunit ribosomal RNA", at positions 28 to 412 of the family's 1533-position model. Lineage: Bacteria; Pseudomonadati; Bacteroidota; Flavobacteriia; Flavobacteriales; Flavobacteriaceae. The record is from RNAcentral.
GAUGAACGCUAGCGGCAGGCUUAACACAUGCAAGUCGAGGGGUAGAAGCAGCUUGCUGCUUUGAGACCGGCGCACGGGUGCGUAACGCGUAUGCAAUCUGCCUCUCACAGGGGGAUAGCCCGGAGAAAUUCGGAUUAAUACCCCAUGGUAUAUAGAUGUGGCAUCACAUUUUUAUUAAAGAUUUAUCGGUGAGAGAUGAGCAUGCGUCCCAUUAGCUAGUUGGUGUGGUAACGGCACACCAAGGCUACGAUGGGUAGGGGUCCUGAGAGGGAGAUCCCCCACACUGGUACUGAGACACGGACCAGACUCCUACGGGAGGCAGCAGUGAGGAAUUUUCCGCAAUGGGCGAAAGCCUGACGGAGCAAGACCGCGUGGGGGAGGAA